UACAGAGGGUGCGAGCGUUAAUCGGAAUUACUGGGCGUAAAGCGUGCGUAGACGGUUAUUUAAGUCGGAUGUGAAAGCCCCGGGCUCAACCUGGGAAUUGCAUUCGAGACUGAAUAGCUAGGGUACGGUUGAGGGAAGCGGAAUUUCCGGUGUAGCGGUGAAAUGCGUAGAUAUCGGAAGGAACAUCAGUGGCGAAAGCGGCUUCCUGGACCAGUACCGACGUUCAGGCACGAAAGCGUGGGGAGCAAACAGG
This 253-nucleotide ribosomal RNA is filed under the name uncultured bacterium. Its description in RNAcentral is "partial 16S ribosomal RNA". It matches the Rfam family "Bacterial small subunit ribosomal RNA", at positions 524 to 776 of the family's 1533-position model. The record is from RNAcentral.